UACGUAGGCAGCGAGCGUUGUUCGGAGUUACUGGGCGUAAAGGGUGUGUAGGCGGGUGUUUAAGUUUGGGGUGAAAUCUCCCGGCUCAACUGGGAGGGUGCGCCGAAUACUGAAUGACUUGGAGUGCGGGAGAGGAGAGUGGAAUUCCUGGUGUAGCGGUGAAAUGCGUAGAUAUCAGGAGGAACACCGGUGGUGUAGACGGCUCUCUGGACCGUAACUGACGCUGAGACACGAAAGCGUGGGUAGCAAACAGG
RNAcentral lists this ribosomal RNA (254 nucleotides) under uncultured bacterium. Its description in RNAcentral is "partial 16S ribosomal RNA". It matches the Rfam family "Bacterial small subunit ribosomal RNA", at positions 524 to 776 of the family's 1533-position model. The record is from RNAcentral.